RNAcentral lists this ribosomal RNA (497 nucleotides) under uncultured bacterium. Its description in RNAcentral is "partial 16S ribosomal RNA". It matches the Rfam family "Bacterial small subunit ribosomal RNA", at positions 28 to 507 of the family's 1533-position model. The record is from RNAcentral.
GAUGAACGCUGGCGGCGUGCCUAAUACAUGCAAGUCGAGCGAACGGACGAGAAGCUUGCUUCUCUGAUGUUAGCGGCGGACGGGUGAGUAACACGUGGAUAACCUACCUAUAAGACUGGGAUAACUUCGGGAAACCGGAGCUAAUACCGGAUGAUAUUUUGAACCGCAUGGUUCAAAAGUGAAAGACGGUCUUGCUGUCACUUAUAGAUGGAUCCGCGCUGCAUUAGCUAGUUGGUAAGGUAACGGCUUACCAAGGCAACGAUGCAUAGCCGACCUGAGAGGGUGAUCGGCCACACUGGAACUGAGACACGGUCCAGACUCCUACGGGAGGCAGCAGUAGGGAAUCUUCCGCAAAGGGCGAAAGCCUGACGGAGCAACGCCGCGUGAGUGAUGAAGGUCUUCGGAUCGUAAAACUCUGUUAUUAGGGGAGAACAUAUGUGUAAGUAACUGUGCACAUCUUGACGGUACCUAAUCAGAAAGCCACGGCUAACUACGUG